UCAAGUACCAGAAUCUCAGAUGCGAGUUACAAAAGUUAUGCAGAACUAACAAAUUACAAAUUACACUCUAAGCGCCUCUACAAGAGAAGAUGUCCUGCAAAGGACUGAGACUCCAUACCCAAAUAAGUUAACUAGAAUGACUGAUACAUCAACAUUAAACUCUACAGCUGCACCAGAAAGCAAAACUACUUUAUUCACAACCCAUCAUACUGAAGCAGCCACAAGAAAAGCUCUUUCAGCCUCAGAAAGUUUUGACAGAGUUCACUGUUCACUGAAAAUAAAAGGACGUUGUGUGCAGAACUCAGUAAAUCAGGUGCUUCCAUCAACUAACAUUAGUAAGUCAGAAGAUCACAACUUGCGUUUGUUGCAAAAGGGAACAGCUGCAUGUAGCACAUCUAUUUUAUCCACCUUACCUUCAAAAAAAGAGUUUUCCCUAAAUAACUCAUCACAUCCUAAUACAUUUAAAGUACCAACAAAGUGUAUUUUUUUUUUUACCUAGCUACUGCUAAACCAAAACACAUAGAGGGAAGUGCAAAUAGCCACACAGGUUAUGCAAUCUCUAUUUCAGAAAACCAAGAAAUAGGAAAUUCAGAGCAAACAGGAAAUACUAAAGAUAAGGCAAAGAUAAAAAUAAAUGCUAGUGGUAGGAUAUCUAAAAACAAUGAAAUGAAACCCGGGCUCACUACAGAAAACAAUGAAGCUGAAGAGCUGGUUACACCAAGCUGGCAACAAGUUCCAACAACAACCAGUUUUAACAGUCGCGACUCAAAUGAUCAGAUACUGUAUAAAGAUGGUAAACAGGCAUCUUUCAUGAGUAAGCAGAACACUGAAAAUACUCUUGCGGCCGACAAAAGGGUAGAUUCAAGCACAUCCACUCCUGGUGACAGAAGGCCAACAUUAAAAGCAGCCCAGGGAGCUUCACAUAAUGAAACUUUUUGUAGCGCUCAUCAUGGAUUGUAUGCACACACCCAAGAGCCCCCAUGCCUGUUUCUGAUCACUUUCGAGAGGUGGCUGAAGACAGGGAAACCUUGCAAAGCAGCUCCACAGUUGUUGGUGACUAUUCAAGCAAUAUGGCUACCAGCACCAGUUUAAAAACAUUUGAUAACAAUCUUUUCAAGUUCAUUAAAGGUAUUGGAAUCACUUUGAGCAUAACUAAACCAUUUACAGCUAUUGCACACAAUGAAAGUACUACCAGCCGUGCACAGAAUUCCCCAAGGCCUGUAUCGGAUCACACAGAAACUGGUAGUGUGUCACCUUCGCCAGUGUUUAACAACAGAGGGAUCACUUCUAAAGAUGGUGAGGCACUAUAUAAAAUACACAAGGACCAUAUGAGUUUGUCAAAAGAUAAUAAAAGUGCAAUCACAACAAUACAGAACAUAUCCAACUGUCAACACACUGGGAUAGAACCCCAAUCACAACAAUACAGGACAUAUCCAAAUUUCAACACACUGGGAUAGAACCCCAAUCACAACAAUACAGGACAUAUCCAAAUUUCAACACACUGGGAUAGAACCCCAAUCACAACAAUACAGAAAAUAUCCAACUGUCAACACACUGGGAUAGAACCCCAAUCACAACAAUACAGAACAUAUCCAACUGUCAACACACUGGGAUAGAACCCCAAUCACAACAAUACAGAACAUAUCCAACUAUCAACACACUGGGAUAGAACCCCAAUCACAACAAUACAGAACAUAUCCAACUGUCAACACACUGGGAUAGAACCCCAUUCACAACAAUACAGAACAUAUCCAACUGUCAACACACUGGGAUAGAACCCCAAUCACAACAAUACAGGACAUAUCCAAAUUUCAACACACUGGGAUAGAACCCCAAUCACAACAAUACAGAAAAUAUCCAACUGUCAACACACUGGGAUAGAACCCCAAUCACAACAAUACAGGACAUAUCCAAAUUUCAACACACUGGGAUAGAACCCCAGUCACAACUGUACCUGUGAUAACAGAAGGCAGCUUUCUACUUUCAGAAGAGUCAGCAACUAAACGAAGUCACAAAGGGAACAACGAAUUCCAGGCUGGUAAUGAUGAACUGAACUAUGGAGGAGAAUCCACCAUGAAGCCUACCUGGACAACUCUUGAUCAAAGAGACUUUACAGCUGAAUUAGAGGAGAAAACCAUCACAGAAUCUAACAGUGAGUCACUGCUAGCUACACCAUCUUCUCCCACUGGUGCUUUUUCUGAGCCUUGCUCUUUUCAACCAGAAACUGUGACAGCUUCUCCUAUGACUGAUGGAAGCACAAUUACUCAUGUUCCCACAUCAGUGCCAGUCCUUACAGGUCAGAUCAGCCUGAGAGGAGGGAGGAAUCGAUUUGAAGGGCUGGUAGAAGUGGAGUACGGGGGGCACCAGGGAGGAAUUUGUGCCAAACGAUGGGACAACAGGAAUGCAGCAGUAGUUUGUCGACAGUUGGGAUUCUCUGGAAUGGCUUGGGCUACCAGCAGGAUUAAACUGCGGGAAGGGGAUUUACCGGUGAGCAUCUUAUAUGUGAAGUGCAGUGGAGAUGAAACCUCUCUGGAUGGCUGUGAGGUCAAGAGGGGAGUAGAAUGUGGGACAACUGAGAGAGCUGGAGUCCACUGUCAAGGAGACUGUGACCCUGCUACAUGCAACUGUGAUGCAAAUGAUGAAGUGUGGAGGUCUGAUGGCGUUUCACAGGACAGACAAGCUACGCUGUAGAGGACAAAAGAACAGAGUAUCAGUGCUUGAAUCUUGUGCAGCACUCAAAGAGGAAGGCUUUGCUGAAUCAGGACGCUAUGCCAUUGAUCCUGACAGAGUCAGACAAGGAGUCUUCCAGUUUGAGGUUUAUUGUGACAUGACCUCAAACCCCACGACCAGUAAAAAGUUUCAGAAAAUGGGUUCAGGAAAGCUGCCUAGGGGGAGUUAGCCUAGCAGAAAGAUAAUUUAACCAUGUUUAGGUUUUUGCAAAAGACUCACAAUUUGUAUAACCCCAUCAUACAUAUUUUUUUACACUGCUCACUGCUAUAUUUCCAGCAUCCCUUGGUUUUGUUUAACAGUAUGUUUGGAUAAAUGGGUAAUUGUAUGUAAACAUAAUGUGAUAUAAUUGUGACAAUUGUAGUCGCCCUAAAAAAUAAAUAAUAAUAAUAAUAACAGUAUGUAUUUGAGCCUCAUUUGUCUGUUUCCUCUGAUGCAGGUAUCACAGUGGUGAGUCAUGACACUGAAAGCCGCAUGCAUGUCGCCCCUUGUGAAGAACAGGUCUGUUACGGCAGAGAGCUGAAAUAUGAAGCACAUCUGAUUCAAAUAAAUGCGCUUACUAGAGUUUCUAAAUCCCGCCAACAGUAUGUCAAGGUGAGUUCUUUAAAUCCAUUAAACUCUAUCAUACCGUCAUGAGGUAGUGUGAGUGGCACUCGCGGGGGAUGGGUGCUGAGCUGCCCACUUCUCCUACUUUCUCAAUGCAGAUUACUGUGUGUGUGUGUGCAUGCCUGGAUAGAGUUACAUUCUGGCUCCACCUGGCGGCCAACUCCCCUUCCAGCCAAGUUCUAUAUCUGUUGAAUUUUACUACAAAAGUGGUUUGUGAGUUGGCACCAAUCUGUUCAGAACGAUCUAUUCCAUAAAGACUGCUCUGUUUCACCGUACUGUUCCUAUAACCCAGGUCCUAUAUUUUAGACCCCCACGUGCACGAAUAUCAGAUCAGUGGCAAACGUGGUUCUUUCAGUCCACUCCAGUCCAGGACCAGGGUCAUCAUUAUUUAAUUGCACACCUACGUUCUAUCAACACCCAAGUUCUAUUGACUGUUCAAUCCAACACUUAUGGACAUGGUUGGAAAAAGGUUCCUGGACUGGUAUGUAUUAAGUAAAUAACCACUGGGUAAGUAAGAGGUUCUACAGUAAAAGCAUUUUAAGUGGAUGCAGUGGUAAACCAUUUUAACCUAGUGUGACCAUAUGGUCACAUGUAGCACUCUCUCAUAUGACAGCCAUUAUGUCGGCGAGUAUUGCGAAUAAUUGUCCAAUUUUGUAUUCAGCACUUAGUAUUGACAUCAUUAUUUGAGAUUCCAUUGUUUGAGUCUGGUGGCCCAACCACAUAGGUCAUGCACAGCAGCAAACGUCCUCAGUUGCUGCUUGGUCGCCAAAAAUGGCAGUACGAUUUUGUUAAGUCUGAAAAAUUGUUGUCAUUAUAUGGAGAAUGUAUUCGUGUAACGUUUUUAUUUGCUUCACCUCUUGCACACAGAUGAGCAUAAAGGAAGACACUUUGUAACUCACAGUAAAACAACAAAACAGCAAUCAAACUAUCAAUACCAGUAGUAGUCUAGGAGGUUAACAGUGCAGGUGACCCUUGAUAUACUUGAGGCUGAAGGGGAGGAUGCACAAGAACUCUAUAUAGAACCACCUGACCUGUUUAGGAAGAGAUUUCUUUCUCACUUCAAGAAUGUGCAACACCUCGACUUUGACAAAUCAUUAUUAGUUGGGCGACCAGCUACAUCGCGUGGGAGCACUACCCACUCACGGGUGUCCGUCGAGAUUCGAUUUGACAGACAGGACCACCUCGUCAUUCCCACUGAAGAACGCAGCAAGUGCUGAGUUGGACGGUGCCUUGACAGGUUCUUUCCAUUCCAUACUCAAUAGAGAGAUAUGGAAAAUUAUUUUGAUUACAUAUUUGCCUAGUGGGACCAGGCUAUAUUAAGAACUUAUUUUUUCAAACUCAUGUUUAGAUAAAUGUUUUUGAUUGUUUCAAAGUACAACAUAAAGGAUUUUUUUUUUUUAAAUGCAGUCGGGUUAAUUAGGGUAUCGAUCGCUCAUCAAAUUAAUUGAAAUGUUGACAAACAGAAACAGAGUAGCUCAAGAGAUGUUUUAUUUUUUUUAUUUUUUCUCUCACAGCUUGACUGUCGACACAUUUGUUUCAUUCAGUCCGGUUGGGGGUGGUGGGUCUCCUGGAAUGGACAAAAGAUGUUUCACUGGGGAGGGGCUGAGAUCAACAGCAGUAGCUGUGCCUGUGGAAUGACAGGCACAUGCUCUGGUCCAGCGAGGCUCUGUAACUGUGACAGCAACGAUCACAUUUGGAGAACAGAUGAAGGCUAUCUGUGGGUUAAAUCAUUGUUGCCAGUGACGUCUGUGUACUUUGGUGACACACAAGAUGCUUCUUUAGAAAUGGCCUUUCACACCAUUGGAAAAGACCUGCAAAGGAAAAGGUAAGAUUGUGAGGAGCUUGGAGUUACGAGCCUACUGUCAGAUACCCUAAGCUCUGUAACUGGAAACCACUUUGAAAGAACCUAAAGCAUCAUUUAGAUGGGUUCUACUGUGAAUAUGCCUUUUAAUAUAUGCAGAGGUUUAUCUCUUCAAUCCAAAAUCCUCUCUCUGACCAAGUUUAUUUGAGGACUUCUGACUUCAACACUUUGCCCCCAGCAAAAAACUGAAUAACAUUGCCUUUAUAUUUCAAAAUGAUUGUAGCUAACACAAUAAUUCCAUACAUCUUACCUGAUGUGCACUUCUGUUUGAUAUAUAGGUCUGAAAGAAACAUGCUGCAGUAAAUACAUGUAUUUCUGUUUUAAAAACAUGUUGGGCCCUAUGUGUCAUAGAAUCAUAAUGUUUGCUAUGAUUUUGUUCAUUUCAAAUAGUUUUUCAUAUUUUCUUUCUUUCAGAGCUUUUUUUUUUUUGUAUGGAUACGGCAAUACCUUUCGUACAACUCGAAAUUGUUUAUAUACAUUGCAAUAACAAAAGCUCAAUAGAUCUGACCCGCAUGCUCGUUAUAAACAGAAUAAAACUAUAAAUGGCACUAUCAAAAGCUACACACAGCACAGGUAGAUUACCAUGUCACACCUGAUUGUGAAUAUCACUAUCUCUACCACCUCUGCCAUGUUGAAAUUUAUUUGAAAAAUUAAAGUGAUGCUGAAGAGAGAACAAUGGAUGCAAGAUAGAAGAUU
Molecule: RNA transcript, 5890 nt
Organism: Acipenser ruthenus (sterlet)
Lineage: Eukaryota; Metazoa; Chordata; Actinopteri; Acipenseriformes; Acipenseridae
Gene name: neurotrypsin-like
Exons: 6
Source: RefSeq, a predicted model, not a curated record